Molecule: ribosomal RNA, 228 nt
Filed under: uncultured bacterium
Lineage: Bacteria
Description: partial 16S ribosomal RNA
Rfam family: Bacterial small subunit ribosomal RNA
Source: RNAcentral
CGGGUGAGUAAUGUCUGGAAAACUGCCUGAUGGAGGGGGAUAACUGCUGGAAACGGUAGCUAAUACCGCAUAACGUCGCAAGACCAAAGAGGGGGACCUUCGGGCCUCUUGCCAUCGGAUGUGCCCAGAUGGGAUUAGCUAGUAGGUGGGGUAACGGCUCACCUAGGCGACGAUCCCUAGCUGGUCUGAGAGGAUGGCCAGCCACACUGGAACUGAGACACGGUCCAG